AGCGAACGCUGGCGGCAGGCCUAACACAUGCAAGUCGAACGGAUCCUUCGGGAUUAGUGGCGGACGGGUGAGUAACACGUGGGAACGUGCCCUUUGGUUCGGAACAACUCAGGGAAACUUGAGCUAAUACCGGAUGUGCCCUUCGGGGGAAAGAUUUAUUGCCAUUGGAGCGGCCCGCGUCUGAUUAGCUAGUUGGUGAGGUAACGGCCCACCAAGGCGACGAUCAGUAGCUGGUCUGAGAGGAUGAUCAGCCACACUGGGACUGAGACACGGCCCAGACCCCUACGGGAGGCAGCAGUGGGGAAUCUUGCGCAAUGGGCGAAAGCCUGACGCAGCCAUGCCGCGUGAAUGAUGAAGGUCUUAGGAUUGUAAAAUUCUUUCAGCGGGGACGAUAAUGACGGUACCCGAAGAAGAAGCUCCGGCUAACUUCGUG
Molecule: ribosomal RNA, 433 nt
Filed under: uncultured bacterium
Lineage: Bacteria
Description: partial 16S ribosomal RNA
Rfam family: Bacterial small subunit ribosomal RNA
Source: RNAcentral